This 375-nucleotide ribosomal RNA is filed under the name uncultured bacterium. RNAcentral describes it as "bacterial SSU rRNA". It matches the Rfam family "Bacterial small subunit ribosomal RNA", at positions 362 to 758 of the family's 1533-position model. The record is from RNAcentral.
UAUUGGACAAUGGGCGAAAGCCUGAUCCAGCAAUGCCGCGUGAGUGAUGAAGGCCUUCGGGUCGUAAAGCUCUUUUACCAGGGAUGAUAAUGACAGUACCUGGAGAAUAAGCUCCGGCUAACUCCGUGCCAGCAGCCGCGGUAAUACGGAGGGAGCUAGCGUUGUUCGGAAUUACUGGGCGUAAAGAGUACGUAGGCGGUUAUUCAAGUCAGAGGUGAAAGCCCGGGGCUCAACCCCGGAACUGCCUUUGAAACUAGAUAACUAGAGUCUUGGAGAGGUCAGUGGAAUUCCGAGUGUAGAGGUGAAAUUCGUAGAUUUUCGGAAGAACACCGGUGGCGAAGGCGACGAACGGCUUGGUACGACGCGAGGACGAGG